UAAAUGCCAGUGCAAACCUAAAUACGUCAGUGAUGGUUAUAAUAAUUGUGUCCCAACACAUUUAGAAGAACCAUGUCAAAGAGAUGAAGAUUGCAUUGAAAUAAGGCAUGCUAAAUGUUUCAAGAGAAGGUGUAUUUGCAAGAAAAAUUAUACUCCAUUAAAUAAUACAAAGUGUGCAGCACUUUUGAACAGUUAUUGUUAUAGUGACACCGAUUGUUUUGAUAAAAAUUCAGUUUGUGUUUUACAUAAAUGUCGAUGUAACGUUGGUUACUCGGAAAAUUUCAAUCAUACAUGUGUGCAAAUUCCAUUAGGAAAAUCUUGUAAAGCGGAUAAGGAUUGUGAAUAUUUGAAAAAUUCGAAAUGUUCUGUCGAUAAAAUUUGUGUUUGUGAUGAUGGUUAUUUUGCAUUAGAUGAAUAUACUUGCAC
Microplitis mediator is the source of this 426-nucleotide long non-coding RNA. RefSeq lists it as uncharacterized. The transcript is spliced from 3 exons. NCBI's taxonomy places the organism in Eukaryota, Metazoa, Arthropoda, Insecta, Hymenoptera, Braconidae. The record is from RefSeq and is a predicted model, not a curated record.